Molecule: transfer RNA, 77 nt
Filed under: Deltaproteobacteria bacterium
Lineage: Bacteria; Pseudomonadati; Myxococcota; Myxococcia
Description: tRNA-Pro
Rfam family: tRNA
About the family: Transfer RNA (tRNA) molecules are approximately 80 nucleotides in length.
Source: RNAcentral
CGGAGCGUGGCGCAGCUUGGCAGCGCACCUGCUUUGGGAGCAGGGGGUCGAAGGUUCAAAUCCUUUCGCUCCGACCA